AGGACGAGGUAGCUGUGUAAUUGUUUUUACGUCUUUCAGAGUUUCCAUUCCCUGUUUAGAGAUGCAAAGGGCUGGCAUGCCAGCACUGUAACAGAAACACAGACAACAGGGCUGGAAGCGAUCUCGGAAAACCACGUAAAUUCUCUCACCUCUUGCCCCAAGCAAAGCACUCGCUGCCUCAGUUUUCUCCUCUGUAAAAUAUGGAUAUUACUGAUUCAUAAUAUCUGCCUGAUGGAGGAGUUUAAGCAUCACUGAAUGGGCUGAUGCGGCUCAUGGCAGGAGAAACUUGAUUCUCUGAGACCAGCCAGCACCUCGUCAGCCUCGCCUGGCUCUUCUGCAGGGAGAAUGCAGGAUUGCAUGGAAGGAGAUGGAUCAGAGGUUGGAAAUAGCACAGGCAAAGUGGGAAAGAAGCAGUUGUGGAGGAGGAUCAUGGAUACAAUCUAAAUUUCCAUCUAUGAGAAAAUAAUCCACUGUAAAUAUCACUUAGCUGAACACGAUCACUUGCCUGCAUCUGCAGAUAGUCUGAAAUAAGAGUGGUAUGACCAACUCCAGCCUCACACAAGCCGGUAUCGGCUCAAUUGCAAAUGCUCCCUCUCUUUAAUUACUACAGGACUGAUUACUGCAAGAGAAGAAAAAGAUACUCUGUUUAGAUCUGAGGAGUCUGGAGCUCGCAGUCUCACGUUUUGCCAUGAUCAAACAAUAACAUUUCGGUUACAGAAAGAGCUCGUAUCUCCUGGCUCCAGUCUUGUGCCUGGUAAGGAGUAAUAAUUCAUGUUUAGAAAGUACUACAUAAAACUCUAUCUCCAGAGGUUGUCAGGUUUACAUUGCAAAAAUAUAGGGUAAGCAGCACAGCUAUUAAUUGUUAAUAACUACCUCAGUAAUGAUUAAAAAAAAAGGGGGAAAAAAUGGCAAAGGGACUUGAAAAAGAAAAAAAAAAUCACUUGCUCACCACUGAAAGUGCUCAUCUGCACUUUGUCACGUUCUUGUCGUCUUUGACUCAUUUCCUGAGCGGACCUUGUAGCUGCCUGUGCGGUUGUGGUUUUACACCGUUGUGAAAACACCAUAAAACAAGCUGGGUUUUGUUAGAGGCUUUUGUAGGGGGUUGGUUGUUUGUUUUAACAACUUUGGUUCUGAUUCCCCAAUGUCGUUAGGACUAUUUAAAUGUUUGUCAUCACAACUCCAACAAAAAGUUGGUUUCUUAGGAAGUUGUAAGAUGCCAAAAUAGCCAAAGAAACAAACACAAGAAUAAAUCAAACCAGAAACCAAAAAUCUUAACUGUGCUUUACUGCGGGAGGUGUACACUGCAUGAAUACACCAUGAGCAAAUACCGGAGUUCAAUGACAAUGAAAAUACAACGCAUUUUGCAACAAACACAAGAAGAAGCAUGUCACUAAUGGGCACGUCGUGAAGUGGGGAGUUACUUGGGAUUUCCUCGAAGAGACGGAAGACUCUUGACAGAUCGGCAGGCUCGGAAAAUGUGCUGGCCUGUCUAGAGAAGCAUAUGCUGGGCAGGUAAGAAGGAAGAUUUUGAGGGAGAAGAUUCAAUCAGCUGUUUCUCUGGGAGGAAUAAUCCUCUGCAUUUAAUCUCAAUCUGUCCGUCACCUGCAGACUUGGAAAGCACGUGAUAAAUGUUACAGUCAUUCUCAGAGAAACCACAUACACGUACCGUCGUGCUGGAGGAUUCUUGCAUCUGUAUAGAGCUGGAGAUGGUAUUUGCUGUGGUAUUUUUGAAGACUUUCCCCUAUUAUUGAAAGACAUGACAAAAUUAAAGGUCUUGGGCAAAAUUUGGUCCUCUUGCUGCAAGAUCCCAAAGUGAUUAUGGGAGUUUUGCUGGAGCCGAGGGAAGGAUGGGGCAAGACAGCUUUGUGGGGGGUGACAUACACCUUGACAGUGUUGUAGAAUAAAGUAGACCUUUGGGUCAAG
Long non-coding RNA from Pygoscelis adeliae (Adelie penguin), 1923 nucleotides. RefSeq lists it as uncharacterized. The transcript has 3 exons. NCBI's taxonomy places the organism in Eukaryota, Metazoa, Chordata, Aves, Sphenisciformes, Spheniscidae. The record is from RefSeq and is a predicted model, not a curated record.